GUCGGCAGCGUCAGAGUGGUAUAAGAGACAGGUGAGUCAUCGAAUCUUUGAACGCACAUUGCGCCUGCUUGCAGGCAUGCCCGUUCGAGCGUCGCUUCUAUUUAGUACAGCAGUCCUUGUGAUUGCUGCACUGUGUUGGACACGCCUCUUGGCUGUCCGGAAAGCAGUGGCCGCAGUGCCGCCGAUAAACGGUCGACAGGAGUCAGCCGCGGCGUCGCUGUGAGUCUCUUCUAACAGAACCUUAUGACCUCGAAUCGGGUAGGGAUACCCGCUGAACUUAAGCAUAUCAAUAAGCGGAGG
This 300-nucleotide unclassified non-coding RNA is filed under the name uncultured fungus. RNAcentral's name for it is "sequence contains 5.8S rRNA gene, ITS2". Lineage: Eukaryota; Fungi. The record is from RNAcentral.